AUUGAACGCUGGCGGCAUGCCUUACACAUGCAAGUCGAACGGCAGCACGGGUGCUUGCACCUGGUGGCGAGUGGCGAACGGGUGAGUAAUACAUCGGAACAUGUCCUGUAGUGGGGGAUAGCCCGGCGAAAGCCGGAUUAAUACCGCAUACGAUCUACGGAUGAAAGCGGGGGACCUUCGGGCCUCGCGCUAUAGGGUUGGCCGAUGGCUGAUUAGCUAGUUGGUGGGGUAAAGGCCUACCAAGGCGACGUUCAGUAGCUGGUCUGAGAGGACGACCAGCCACACUGGGACUGAGGCACGGCCCAGACUCCUACGGGAGGCAGCAGUGGGGAAUUUUGGACAAUGGGCGAAAGCCUGAUCCAGCAAUGCCGCGUGUGUGAAGAAGGCCUUCGGGUUGUAAAGCACUUUUGUCCGGAAAGAAAUCCUUGGCCCUAAUACGGUCGGGGGAUGACGGUACCGGAAGAAUAAGCACCGGCUAACUACGUG
Molecule: ribosomal RNA, 486 nt
Filed under: uncultured bacterium
Lineage: Bacteria
Description: partial 16S ribosomal RNA
Rfam family: Bacterial small subunit ribosomal RNA
Source: RNAcentral